This 1676-nucleotide long non-coding RNA is filed under the name Amborella trichopoda. RNAcentral's name for it is "long non-coding RNA (ATRI_LNC003616)". The record is from RNAcentral. Lineage: Eukaryota; Viridiplantae; Streptophyta; Magnoliopsida; Amborellales; Amborellaceae.
GAAGAGAAUAGAUGAGACUUAGGUUGAAGCCGAUUUCUAUAGGACUUUAAUUAUAUUUAGAGAUAAGAGAGAGAGAGAGAGAGAGAGAGACAAAUUGAAAGGAUGAGCCCUUGGGAUGUAAAAUGGAGAGAUUUUAGGGAAAGGGAGAAGUGAUGGGUGCAAUAUAUUUGCUGGUUAGGAACUAAAGUCGAGUGCGGUAAGUGAAAAAUUUUGGUUUACAUUGGUCAUCUUUUGGGAGAUUUAAUUUGAAUCAGAAUUAUGCUUUGGAUUUUAUACAUAUCGAAUUUAAUUGUCUUGAAUUGAUGGUAUGAGGAUAGAGGUGCACAUGCAUUUCCAAGUUAAUUAGUAUCUAAGAAAAAUAAAUUGUGUAUUUAUUUUUUAUCAAAACUCCCCUAAUAGUAACACUCGUCAAAAUGAAAAGGGCCUUGCAACAGACGAAUGCCCAAAUUAAAGAGGCUUAGUACAUAGUACUUCUAUGUUACUCUCGUGGUAUAUUUGUCUCCAGGUAAUCAUAAGUUCAUAAGUCCUCUUCUUACAUGGGAUAUUUCAUCAACAAUGUGGAGCAGGGGCCAUUGGCAGUUAGCCAAACCAGAUGCCCAUGAAAUAACAUUGUGGGAGUCCCUUGCUAUGGUGAGAGCUUGGCCCCAAGAGUUGUCAAGUAGUUUGAGGCCCUCAAGAAAUAUGAUCUAGCAUCUGUUGAUUGGAAAUCGGAGUGACCUAUGGACUUCGAGAAAGAGGUCAAAGUGGAGCCUUUGUGGUCGCUAAAAAGACCUAUACUUGAUGGCCCUGGGCUGCCUAUGGAACAACCAUCAAGGUUGAGCUUUACGCGGCCCAACUCUGGAGGAAGCCACAAGGAGGCUCGUGAGUUACUCGUGUAGAAAAGGAGAUUGUACUAGUGUAGGUGGAAGGCUGAAGGGGGGAAGCCUUUGAACCGCUUGUGUUUAGUAGCCGAAAAGAUAACUGCCACUUUGAUUAUAUCAAACAAGGAUUCAAUGGUAGAGAACUGUCCUCUGAAGAUAUGAUUGUUACGUUCUAUCCAAAUUUCCCAAAUGAGGGCUGCCAUUGAAGCCUUCCACAAUAUGAUACCUGAAGAGGCCUAGGGGUAGAGUUGGAGAGAGGAAAAGAGAUUGGGAAUAUUUUUUGGGGUCACCCAUUGUCAUUUGAAGAGCUGAAGAAAUGCUCCCCAGAAGGAAUGGGCCAAGGGACAAUAUAUAAAGAGGUAAGGGUUAGUUUCCUCGGCUUCUCGACACAUGAUACAUCAAUUAGGUAAAGCCAAGCCUCUCUUUUGCAGUUGGUCAAUAGUUAAUGUUCUUCGAAAGAGAGCAAUCUAAUUGAUUGGCCUGUGGAUGCAUGUACAAUGAAGGUUUCACUUUGUGGGUGUGUGGAUUGGCGUGUAUUUCUACUCAUUCAUUCUUGCUUGGUCAUUCAUCUGACUCUGAGAUAUGAGUUUGGCUGCUUUGCUUUAGUAUCGAAUGGGCUAUGAAGAUUCCUAUGUGUAUCGAAUGGCGUAUGAAGAUUUCUGAAUGGUAAUUUUAGAAACCUAUAAUCCAAAAUUUUAAAAUACAUGCGUCUUUUCCUUUCUAUAAAACUGGUGGAGGGCACUAAAUAUAAUUGUGCAUGCUCCAAAUUUUCAAAUUUCAAGACUUCUUAUUUUAUUUUUACUAAUCAAAUCUACC